Molecule: ribosomal RNA, 312 nt
Filed under: Escherichia coli
Lineage: Bacteria; Pseudomonadati; Pseudomonadota; Gammaproteobacteria; Enterobacterales; Enterobacteriaceae
Description: bacterial SSU rRNA
Rfam family: Bacterial small subunit ribosomal RNA
Source: RNAcentral
UUAAAUUGAAGAGUUUGAUCAUGGCUCAGAUUGAACGCUGGCGGCAGGCCUAACACAUGCAAGUCGAACGGUAACAGGAAACAGCUUGCUGUUUCGCUGACGAGUGGCGGACGGGUGAGUAAUGUCUGGGAAACUGCCUGAUGGAGGGGGAUAACUACUGGAAACGGUAGCUAAUACCGCAUAACGUCGCAAGACCAAAGAGGGGGACCUUCGGGCCUCUUGCCAUCGGAUGUGCCCAGAUGGGAUUAGCUAGUAGGUGGGGUAACGGCUCACCUAGGCGACGAUCCCUAGCUGGUCUGAGAGGAUGACCAG